Molecule: ribosomal RNA, 424 nt
Filed under: uncultured bacterium
Lineage: Bacteria
Description: partial 16S ribosomal RNA
Rfam family: Bacterial small subunit ribosomal RNA
Source: RNAcentral
AAUCUUCCACAAUGGGCACAAGCCUGAUGGAGCAACGCCGCGUGAGUGAAGAAGGUUUUAGGAUCGUACAACUCUGUUGUAAGGGAAGAACAAGUACAGUAGUACCUGGCUGUACCUUGACGGUACCUUAUUAGAAAGCCACGGCUAACUACGUGACAGCAGACGCGGUAAUACGUAGGUGGCAAGCGUUGUACGGAAUUAUUGGGCGUAAAGCGCGCGCAGGCGGUCCUUUAAGUCUGAUGUGAAAGCCCACGGCUCAACCGUGGAGGGUCAUUGGAAACUGGGGGACUUGAGUGCAGAAGAGGAAAGUGGAAUUCCAAGUGUAGCGGUGAAAUGCGUAGAGAUUUGGAGGAACACCAGUGGCGAAGGCGACUUUCUGGUCUGUAACUGACGCUGAGGCGCGAAAGCGUGGGGAGCAAACAGG